UACGUAGGGAGCAAGCGUUGUCCGGAAUCAUUGGGCGUAAAGCGCGCGUAGGUGGCUUCGUAAGUCCGUUGUGAAAGUCAAAGGCUCAACCUUUGAAAGCCGAUGGAUACUGCGGAGCUAGAGUACGGAAGAGGCGAGUGGAAUUCCUGGUGUAGCGGUGGAAUGCGCAGAUAUCAGGAGGAACACCAAUAGCGAAGGCAGCUCGCUGGGACGUUACUGACACUGAGGCGCGAAAGUGUGGGGAUCAAACAGG
Molecule: ribosomal RNA, 253 nt
Filed under: uncultured bacterium
Lineage: Bacteria
Description: partial 16S ribosomal RNA
Rfam family: Bacterial small subunit ribosomal RNA
Source: RNAcentral